UGUGAGCUCGAUGAGUAGGGCGGGACACGUGGUAUCCUGUCUGAAUAUGGGGGGACCAUCCUCCAAGGCUAAAUACUCCUGACUGACCGAUAGUGAACCAGUACCGUGAGGGAAAGGCGAAAAGAACCCCGGCGAGGGGAGUGAAAAAGAACCUGAAACCGUGUACGUACAAGCAGUGGGAGCACAGAGCAAUCUGUGUGACUGCGUACCUUUUGUAUAAUGGGUCAGCGACUUAUAUUCUGUAGCAAGGUUAACCGAAUAGGGGAGCCGAAGGGAAACCGAGUCUUAACUGGGCGUUAAGUUGCAGGGUAUAGACCCGAAACCCGGUGAUCUAGCCAUGGGCAGGUUGAAGGUUGGGUAACACUAACUGGAGGACCGAACCGACUAAUGUUGAAAAAUUAGCGGAUGACUUGUGGCUGGGGGUGAAAGGCCAAUCAAACCGGGAGAUAGCUGGUUCUCCCCGAAAGCUAUUUAGGUAGCGCCUCGUGAAUUCAUCUCCGGGGGUAGAGCACUGUUUCGGCAAGGGGGUCAUCCCGACUUACCAACCCGAUGCAAACUGCGAAUACCGGAGAAUGUUAUCACGGGAGACACACGGCGGGUGCUAACGUCCGUCGUGAAGAGGGAAACAACCCAGACCGCCAGCUAAGGUCCCAAAGUCAUGGUUAAGUGGGAAACGAUGUGGGAAGGCCCAGACAGCCAGGAUGUUGGCUUAGAAGCAGCCAUCAUUUAAAGAAAGCGUAAUAGCUCACUGGUCGAGUCGGCCUGCGCGGAAGAUGUAACGGGGCUAAACCAUGCACCGAAGCUGCGGCAGCGACGCUUAUGCGUUGUUGGGUAGGGGAGCGUUCUGUAAGCCUGCGAAGGUGUGCUGUGAGGCAUGCUGGAGGUAUCAGAAGUGCGAAUGCUGACAUAAGUAACGAUAAAGCGGGUGAAAAGCCCGCUCGCCGGAAGACCAAGGGUUCCUGUCCAACGUUAAUCGGGGCAGGGUGAGUCGACCCCUAAGGCGAGGCCGAAAGGCGUAGUCGAUGGGAAACAGGUUAAUAUUCCUGUACUUGGUGUUACUGCGAAGGGGGGACGGAGAAGGCUAUGUUGGCCGGGCGACGGUUGUCCCGGUUUAAGCGUGUAGGCUGGUUUUCCAGGCAAAUCCGGAAAAUCAAGGCUGAGGCGUGAUGACGAGGCACUACGGUGCUGAAGCAACAAAUGCCCUGCUUCCAGGAAAAGCCUCUAAGCAUCAGGUAACAUCAAAUCGUACCCCAAACCGACACAGGUGGUCAGGUAGAGAAUACCAAGGCGCUUGAGAGAACUCGGGUGAAGGAACUAGGCAAAAUGGUGCCGUAACUUCGGGAGAAGGCACGCUGAUAUGUAGGUGAAGUCCCUCGCGGAUGGAGCUGAAAUCAGUCGAAGAUACCAGCUGGCUGCAACUGUUUAUUAAAAACACAGCACUGUGCAAACACGAAAGUGGACGUAUACGGUGUGACGCCUGCCCGGUGCCGGAAGGUUAAUUGAUGGGGUUAGCGCAAGCGAAGCUCUUGAUCGAAGCCCCGGUAAACGGCGGCCGUAACUAUAACGGUCCUAAGGUAGCGAAAUUCCUUGUCGGGUAAGUUCCGACCUGCACGAAUGGCGUAAUGAUGGCCAGGCUGUCUCCACCCGAGACUCAGUGAAAUUGAACUCGCUGUGAAGAUGCAGUGUACCCGCGGCAAGACGGAAAGACCCCGUGAACCUUUACUAUAGCUUGACACUGAACAUUGAGCCUUGAUGUGUAGGAUAGGUGGGAGGCUUUGAAGUGUGGACGCCAGUCUGCAUGGAGCCGACCUUGAAAUACCACCCUUUAAUGUUUGAUGUUCUAACGUUGACCCGUAAUCCGGGUUGCGGACAGUGUCUGGUGGGUAGUUUGACUGGGGCGGUCUCCUCCUAAAGAGUAACGGAGGAGCACGAAGGUUGGCUAAUCCUGGUCGGACAUCAGGAGGUUAGUGCAAUGGCAUAAGCCAGCUUGACUGCGAGCGUGACGGCGCGAGCAGGUGCGAAAGCAGGUCAUAGUGAUCCGGUGGUUCUGAAUGGAAGGGCCAUCGCUCAACGGAUAAAAGGUACUCCGGGGAUAACAGGCUGAUACCGCCCAAGAGUUCAUAUCGACGGCGGUGUUUGGCACCUCGAUGUCGGCUCAUCACAUCCUGGGGCUGAAGUAGGUCCCAAGGGUAUGGCUGUUCGCCAUUUAAAGUGGUACGCGAGCUGGGUUUAGAACGUCGUGAGACAGUUCGGUCCCUAUCUGCCGUGGGCGCUGGAGAACUGAGGGGGGCUGCUCCUAGUACGAGAGGACCGGAGUGGACGCAUCACUGGUGUUCGGGUUGUCAUGCCAAUGGCACUGCCCGGUAGCUAAAUGCGGAAGAGAUAAGUGCUGAAAGCAUCUAAGCACGAAACUUGCCCCGAGAUGAGUUCUCCCUGACUCCUUGAGAGUCCUGAAGGAACGUUGAAGACGACGACGUUGAUAGGCCGGGUGUGUAAGCGCAGCGAUGCGUUGAGCUAACCGGUACUAAUGAACCGUGAGGCUUAACC
RNAcentral lists this ribosomal RNA (2547 nucleotides) under Escherichia coli. RNAcentral's name for it is "bacterial LSU rRNA". It matches the Rfam family "Bacterial large subunit ribosomal RNA", at positions 398 to 2925 of the family's 2925-position model. Lineage: Bacteria; Pseudomonadati; Pseudomonadota; Gammaproteobacteria; Enterobacterales; Enterobacteriaceae. The record is from RNAcentral.